This 77-nucleotide transfer RNA is filed under the name Clostridia bacterium. Its description in RNAcentral is "tRNA-Pro". It matches the Rfam family "tRNA". Rfam says of the family: Transfer RNA (tRNA) molecules are approximately 80 nucleotides in length. Their secondary structure includes four short double-helical elements and three loops (D, anti-codon, and T loops). Lineage: Bacteria; Bacillati; Bacillota; Clostridia. The record is from RNAcentral. RNAcentral also lists the same sequence under 2 other names.
CGGGGUGUGGCCCAGUAGUCUAAGGCGCACGGUUCGGGACCGUGAGAUCGAGGGUGCGAAUCCCUCCACCCCGACCA